Molecule: long non-coding RNA, 594 nt
Organism: Amphiprion ocellaris (clown anemonefish)
Lineage: Eukaryota; Metazoa; Chordata; Actinopteri; Pomacentridae
Source: Ensembl
GAGCUCAUAUCUUUGGCAGCUGUAAAGUUUCUGCUCCUUCAAAGUUCACAACACAAUGAAUGAAUUCCUAAAACACUCUCAAUGCUGGAGAGCGUUUGAUGCUGAAGCAGUGAUCAGUUUUUCUGUUUCUUCUCUGGAGAUGCACAAUGAGGGACGUCUGCAGAGACUGAGAAAGAGUCUCACCACAUCCUGACAUGAGGAAAAAGACUUUAUUGAAGACUACAAUGAGAAAAACUAUCAGACAGCAGACGGCUGCAUUCAAGUCUGUAGCUGCUGAAUUCAUGGAUGAAUCAUCUGGCACUAGAGAAGAAGACCAUCAAACAUCCAUGUCAGCUGAUGGAGGUCCAAGAGUCUCACCCAACAAACAACCUACAGAGUGAAGACCUCAAAUCUGAUUGGACGGCCUCCUAUUCAGCCACAUUUUAGGCUGUUAGAUUGUUCCAGAUAAGACAAGUCCAAGAUUCUUCAGAGCCAUUCUACCACGAGCCUGACAGGAAGAACUCCAACAGCUACUGAAUGUUCCUGUGGUUCCCUCAAGGCUACAGGAGGAGUCCUACGAGGACGAGCCGGUCCACCUGAUGGAGGCCAGUCGCU